This 330-nucleotide long non-coding RNA is filed under the name Androctonus crassicauda. The record is from RNAcentral. Lineage: Eukaryota; Metazoa; Arthropoda; Arachnida; Scorpiones; Buthidae.
GUCCGAUGGUUGUCUUCGGAUGGGCCGAUUGUGCAAAUGGGAACACUCGCGAUAAAUCGUAUCUCGUAAACCGUAACACAUUGGACAAAGUUUUCAAUUCGCAAUCUUUUUUUUUGUUAACUGAUGACGCCAUUUUUCAUUUUCGGAAGAAUACUAAGUGGCGGGGCCAUACCAGCUCUUCUACUGGCUGCCACCCCGGCGGAGGUAUUAGCCGGAUGGUGGAGGACGGGCCGGGCCCGGAUACCACGAUAAAUAUUUUCGAGAGGUGGGACUCGAGACUCGAACCCGGGUGGAUCCUCUAGAAUGGAAAACCCAAGCGUUUCCACGCGG